CCUACGGGAGGCAGCAGUGGGGAAUAUUGGGCAAUGGGCGCAAGCCUGACCCAGCAACGCCGCGUGAAGGAAGAAGGCUUUCGGGUUGUAAACUUCUUUUCUCAUGGACGAAGCAAGUGACGGUACCUGAGGAAUAAGCCACGGCUAACUACGUGCCAGCAGCCGCGGUAAUACGUAGGUGGCAAGCGUUAUCCAGAUUUACUGGGUGUAAAGGUCGUGUAGGCGGGACUGCAAGGCAGAUGUGAAAACCACGGGCUCAACCUGUGGCCUGCAUUUGAAACUGUAGUUCUUGAGGACUGGAGAGGCAGACGGAAUUCCUGGUGUAGCGGUGAAAUGCGUAGAUAUUAGGAGGAACACCAGUGGCGAAGGCGGUCUGCUGGACAGCAACUGACGCUGAGGCGCGAAAGCGUGGGGAGCAAACAGGAUUAGAUACCCGUGUAGUC
This 443-nucleotide ribosomal RNA is filed under the name uncultured bacterium. RNAcentral describes it as "partial 16S ribosomal RNA". It matches the Rfam family "Bacterial small subunit ribosomal RNA", at positions 338 to 795 of the family's 1533-position model. The record is from RNAcentral.